Molecule: ribosomal RNA, 199 nt
Filed under: uncultured bacterium
Lineage: Bacteria
Description: partial 16S ribosomal RNA
Rfam family: Bacterial small subunit ribosomal RNA
Source: RNAcentral
ACGCUCGACACCUACGGGAGACAGCAGUCGGGAAUAUUGCGCAAUGGAGGAAACUCUGACGCAGUGACGCCGCGUAUAGGAAGAAGGUUUUCGGAUUGUAAACUAUUGUCGUUAGGGAAGAGAAAGGACAGUACCUAAGGAGGAAGCUCCGGCUAACUACGUGCCAGCAGCCGCGGUAAUCUGAGCGGGCUGGCAAGGC